UACGUAGGCAGCAAGCGUUGUUCGGAGUUACUGGGCGUAAAGGGUGUGUAGGCGGUUGGGUAAGUGCGGUGUGAAAUCCCCCGGCUUAACUGGGAGGGUGCGCUACAAACUGUCUGACUAGAGUGUGGGAUGGGUAAGUGGAAUUCCUGGUGUAGCGGUGAAAUGCGUAGAUAUCAGGAGGAACACCGGUGGUGUAGACGGCUUACUGGACCAUAACUGACGCUGAGACACGAAAGCGUGGGUAGCAAACAGG
This 253-nucleotide ribosomal RNA is filed under the name uncultured bacterium. RNAcentral's name for it is "partial 16S ribosomal RNA". It matches the Rfam family "Bacterial small subunit ribosomal RNA", at positions 524 to 776 of the family's 1533-position model. The record is from RNAcentral.